AACGAACGCUGGCGGCAUGCCUAACACAUGCGAGUCGAACGAGACCUUCGGGUCUAGUGGCGCACGGGUGCGUAACGCGUGGGAACCUGCCCUUAGGUUCGGAAUAACUCCCCGAAAGGGGUGCUAAUACCGGAUAAUGUCUUCGGACCAAAGAUUUAUCGCCUUUGGAUGGGCCCGCGUUGGAUUAGCUAGUUGGUAGGGUAAAAGCCUACCAAGGCGACGAUCCAUAGCUGGUCUGAGAGGAUGAUCAGCCACACUGGGACUGAGACACGGCCCAGACUCCUACGGGAGGCAGCAGUGGGGAAUAUUGGACAAUGGGCGAAAGCCUGAUCCAGCAAUGCCGCGUGAGUGAUGAAGGCCUUAGGGUUGUAAAGCUCUUCUACCCGGGAUGAUAAUGACAGUACCGGGAGAAUAAGCUCCGGCUAACUCCGUG
RNAcentral lists this ribosomal RNA (433 nucleotides) under uncultured bacterium. Its description in RNAcentral is "partial 16S ribosomal RNA". It matches the Rfam family "Bacterial small subunit ribosomal RNA", at positions 29 to 507 of the family's 1533-position model. The record is from RNAcentral.